CGAGAAACGGGACGGAUGCCUCCUGCGCCCGCCGACGGCUCAUGAACGCCACCGGAGAGGGAUGUGAAAGGGGGCGGCCGGCUCAAGCUGGGGGGGGGGGCGGCGCAAGAUCAGUGCACGGCCAGAGGCUCCCAGGAAUCCAGCACCACAUCAAAGCACCCGGGGCGCAGGGAAACAAAAUCUCCCCGUCUGAGACCCUGCGAGUCCCAGGGAAGCACUGGAGCUCCACAGAUGAUGCGGUCGACUCCAAGAAGCGGAAGANGGAGGACAAAGAUAACCUGAGCCGCCAGCUGAGGCUGGAUAAACAUUCCACAGUUUUCAUGUUUCCUCACACAUUCUUCAAACUGUCUUGGCUGCCCUGGCCUGUUCCACUGGAAAUGGUGACCUUGGGCAGGAAGAAGAUGGNGGAGACGGCAGCAGUGGGCCAGAGCUAUAACAGAUCAAGUCCUACGGAGCCAAGAGCUGGAGAGCGGGCUCGGCCACAGCAGACACGCCUGGAACAUCGCCUGAAUGGCACGGGCUGGGUCAUGGAGACUAAAGCAGUUGGGGUUACAGCUGGAGCAACACUGAAUAAUGGAAGAGCCAAACAAAACUCGGAGUGUGCUGGCAGCCGAGCCUGGGGGCCUAAUAGCGCACUGGAGGGCAAUUCUUGCCAUCCCCAGCGGUGGGCAAACGGGACAAGAGGAAGGGAGGGAACCAGCCAGCAGGAGGGGCCCUUUGCACACCGACCGAGGGAUGGGGGAGGGCGGCGGAAGGGGCGUGAGUGCAUUUCUAGUGAGCAGAUUAGUGUCCAGGGAGCCAGGGAUCCCCCUCAUUCUUCCACGCUGAGAUUUCACAAGGAGGCAGCAAAAAAACUUUGAUGGCGGCAGGGCCCUGUGUGCUGGUUGCCACAUGGGCACAAGGUGACCAAUUGCCUGUGACAGACACCUUGCCUGCUACCCCAGAGAUGCCCCUUUCCCCGUGGGCAGGUGCAGCUUCUGAAGCAGGAGAGGAGAGCAAAUUUCAGGCACCACCUUCUUGGUGGAAGAGUAUCUAUAAGGCGCCCAUCAGAACACGUUGGGGGAAUUGGCAAGGUCCAGGGCCAACACAGGCCUCGACUGCAGCCACAGAACAGCAAAAGUUUGCUGUGGAAAAGGCAGACAAAUGCAACAGGAAGCUGUUUUCCCAACAACCAUGACUUCAAGUGCCUGGGAGAAGCCGGAGGAGGGUGGCAAAGAGUGGCAGCCCUAACUGGGCAAGGCAGGAGGCACGGCUGCCAUGGGAAGCCUCCCAGGCCUCAGGCACCCUUUGCCAUCCCAGCCUGCAGGUGCUGCUGGCAGCGAAAUCCUUGAAAAGCCAAUGGAUCAGCUGGUUAGCAGCACCCUAUUGAUUGCUUAUUAUUUCUUGAAGACAUUGUUAUGCGGCUUCCCAUUUUUAAGCGGUCUCUCCUACCAGGAUGGAACAUUCUGGCUGACUUUUUUAAAAGUUCUCACCAGUGACUUUUCACGUCCUUGCCUCUCUGAGUCCGGCAGUAUUUUUGGGGUGGGGUGGGGAGAAGGGAAGCAUNGUGGUAAAUUUCUGCUGAGGGCAAUAAAACGGCUUGAACCAGCCGAGUGACA
This is a long non-coding RNA of Salvator merianae (Argentine black and white tegu), 1598 nucleotides long. NCBI's taxonomy places the organism in Eukaryota, Metazoa, Chordata, Lepidosauria, Squamata, Teiidae. The record is from Ensembl.